AAGGUAGCAAAAUCAUUUGCCUUUUAAUUGGGGGCGGGUAUGAAUGGUUAAAUGUCCAAGUUUAUUUUGUGAUUUUAUGGUGAAUUUACAUUUUUUGUAAGAAUGCAAAAAUGGUUUAAAGGGACGACAAGACCCUAAAAUCUUUAUUGUUAGGUUAUGUAGCUAGGUUUUUGUUUAAUACGUCUAAUUAUUUGACGAUUUGGCUGGGGCAGUGGUUUUUUAUUAAUAAAUAUGCUAUUUUACUAUUAGGGUAUUAGGUCUUUUAUAUAAGGAUAAUUAGAGAUAGUUACCUUAGGGGUAACAGCGUAAUCUUCCUGGAGAGGUCUUAUCUAUAGGAAGGGUUGCGACCUCGAUGUUGAAUUAAAAUUUCCAGGCGAAGCAGCAGGUGCCGUAGGAGGGUUUGUUCAACCUUUAAUUUUUUACAUGAUCUGAGUUCAAACCGG
Molecule: ribosomal RNA, 443 nt
Filed under: Pontogeneia rostrata
Lineage: Eukaryota; Metazoa; Arthropoda; Malacostraca; Amphipoda; Pontogeneiidae
Description: partial 16S ribosomal RNA
Rfam family: Bacterial large subunit ribosomal RNA
Source: RNAcentral